ACACCCGCAGCGUCCCGGGCCCCGCUUUCCUUUUCAAGGGGCGGGUUGUAGAUCGCGCGCGCACCCUGGAGAGCCCGCUGGUUUGUGUGAGGCCCUGGCCCUGUGGGUAGCAGAACACUCUGUCUCGCUGUGAGCAACAAUACACUAAAAAAAAAAGAAAAGAAAAAAAAAAGUCUGUUUGGACGCACAUGUGGAAAAAUAGCUAGCAGCCAGCCUAGCAUCUGAUGAGCUGGAGCAUCCAAGCAAAAGAAACAUUUUUAAAAAGCAAAACAUCAGACCCACCUCCCAUUCAACUCCCCUAGAGGACUGGGCAACACAGAGACACACAACUAUCAAAUAUAGUGAUUCUUUUUCUUCAUCUAGCGAAAGUGACUGGCAGACCACACAAGUUGGCAAAGGCAAUGACAAAAUUCCUGAUAUAGUAGUUGUCCUUAAAAAAAAAAAAAGACCUUUAAACUUAAUGACAUCCAGCAUUAACCAUCUUUACAGCAGUCAGCAGAGAGAAGGACCUUGACACUGGUUCACUGGAAAGGGUAACCAACCUGAUGCACACCUUUUGUUUCAGCAAUCACUGCCUGUUGUGUGAUUUCUGAUUAUGAUUAGGGUGACCACAUAACUUACCUCCAAAUCAAAAUAUUCUUGAGCAUGAAAGAAGCAACUAUCAAGAAUUACAUUGGAAUAACAUGAAUAAACUGGGCCAUACGGUCCCCACAAUUAUAAAAGAAAGGUCAAAUAUUAAUGAUUUUGCCGUGGAAUUUUACUUGAUGUUUUCACGUCUUCAGAUUCAUUGGCAGUAGUCUUUACCAGAAGAGCUAAAACACUAAAAUUCUGCGAGUCAAGCAAGAGUUUGCAAAACAUCCCACGGAGCCAACACACUAUCUAUACUUGGUACAUAAAUACAGCAUAGCUAAAGAGGAAGGCCACGCUAAGAUCUCUAACCCGGAAGACCAAUUAACUAUCUAAAUGAAUUAGCAUUCUGUUUACACUUCAACUUCUGGAAGCUAAUUACUAUUUAAAUAAAGCCUUCUACCUUAAUUACAGCUGUUAGCACGUGAAAGUUUUAGGGAGGCCUGCCUUCCUAGCUGAAAUGCAAACUUGAGGACAUACAAAGCUAUUAAUGGCAUACAAAGCUAAUAAAGGCAGAAUCUUAAGUAAAUGGCUUUAAAAAUUAAGUAUAUAUAAAAGGAUAAUUUGUAAAUUUGCUAACUUUUCUUCUCUGCUAGCUAAAAUCUGUAGCUAUUACACCAUAUGUUCACGCACAUUACCAAACUGCAGCUAUGCCAUCUUCCAGAUCAGAACUCUUCAUUUGUGUCUUAAUGUUUACUACAAUUCCUCGCACAUACAAGGAGUUCAAUAAGCCUUUUUAAAAUUGAAUUAAUAUGUAGAACAGAUACUAGAACCCAGAUCUUCUAGAUUUCUUUCCAGCUCUUCCGUUUUUCUGACUUUGACCCUUCUUGCAUGUUUAAGUCAUUUAUUCAGUUGAUGAAAUACGUAUUAGGUACUCACUAAACUAAGCACUAGGAGGAUUCAGAAAUGAUGAGUAGCCUUUUAGAUCAAAAACACCAUGUGACUUUCUAAAGGUGGAUUUCUUCUGUAGUCUUUCAUCCAAGGAAAGUGACCUGGUAAAUAAACACAAACAAGGGAGUUCGAGGACCAAUGUGAUAUUAACGUUUUAAGCUUGUUCAAAAUUUAUUACUUCUUUAUGUGAGAGCAAGGGAUGGAGUAUUUUGGAUUGGUGGUUAUACCUAUAAUUUGAUAAACACAGAGGAGCAAAUUAAGCAAACUUUUAAGCAAAUUAUUAAUCUGCAAAAAGCCAGUCUCCUUCCCCAGUUAAAAACAAUGUAAUGUUUUCCAGAAUAAAAGAAAGAAAGAAAGCAAGUUGCUCUAAAUAUUCAACUUUAUUUCGCAAUCUGAGGUUCUUCUCUUAUUUUCUUUCCCUCACAUUUCUUUUUAACUAUUUUCAGAAAAUUCAAAAUUAUUUAAUUUUUUCACAUAUAAUUGUCUCGUGUAUGUUCUUAAGUUAUCUUUUAUCUUGAGAGAUACCAAAAACGUCUGCAGUUUUCUGCCUGGAAAAUAUCCUACAGUUAGAGCUAAGCAUUCUUAUCUAUGACAUUACAUCAGUGCAAAGUCAUCACUGGUUAACUAAAUUAUCCAGACUGCUCAUGUUCUUGUCUUUCAUUUAAUUCCAUUUGGUCUGAAUUCUUCACACCACGGUAAUGUAGUUAUCUCCCUGAACAUGCCAGGUUCCCUAUCAGAUAAUUCAGGUAGUAAAGACUUCAAACUUUAUUAUAUUUUAUUUUUCAAGUGCUGCCUCACUUAUUCAAAUUCUUCUGAUCAUUCAGGAACGUUAAGUCAUUCUACAGUUGGAAAGCUGGUAUUUGGCUUUCUUUUACUGAGCCCUAUCUCUAACUCAAAGAUCAAUGUCAAUUAGAUAAAUAUUCAAAAACCUCACCUACUUUAAAUCAUACUUGGAAAAGUUGAUUAAUCUUUUCUAAUAAAAAGAGAAACAUUGAUGUUGCUAAAUUCUAUUUUCAAGGCCUUAUCGUUGUACCUUGGAAGAGUUGAUAGAUGAGGCAGUACCCACAAAAGAACUGGAUGUCCUUGCCCUGAAGUGCAGAAGCUACUAACGAAGGAGGGUGCCACAGACAAAGAGGGAACAAUCAAGCCUGCAUUUUUUCCUGUGGAUUUUUAUUACUUUUUGUACCCCCUAUCGAGUUGCAGAUUAUCCAAAAAGAACAGAAUGCCAUUUACACCAGCUGUUCUUACAGUUCCAAUUUAACUUUAUGGGACUCAUAAUCUCAGAACAAGUCAAUAUAAUACCAAGAGUUUCAGACUCGGUGAUUUUUGCUUCAAUCAUAAAUUCUAUGCUGAUAAGGACAAAGUCUCAGGGUGAAAAAAGAUUAAUGAACAUCACUCUAAACCUAAAAAUAAAACAAUAAUUAAGUUAGGCAAUGUAAAAAUAUAACAUUUGGAAAUAAAACGCAGAUUUGGCCGGGGUUGGUGGCUCAUGCUUGUAAUCCCAGCACUUUGGGAAGCCAAGGCGGGUGGAUCACUUGAGGCCAGGUGUUUGAGACCAGCCCGACCAACAUGGUGAAACCCCAUCUCUUAUUAAAAAUACAAAAAUUAGCUGGGUGUGGUGGUGGGUGCCUAUAUUCCCAGCUACCCAGGAAGCUGAGGCAGGAGAAUCCCUUGAACUCGGGAGGCAGGAGAAUCCCUUGAACUCGGGAGGCAGAAGUUGCAAUGAGUCAAGAUCAUGCCACUGCACUCCAGCCUGGGUGACAAGAGUGAAACUCUGUCUCAAAAAAAAAAAAAGAAAGAAAGAGAAAGGAAGAAAGAAAGAAAGAAGAGAGAGAGAGAAAGAAAGAAAGAGAGAAAG
Molecule: long non-coding RNA, 3376 nt
Filed under: Homo sapiens (human)
Lineage: Eukaryota; Metazoa; Chordata; Mammalia; Primates; Hominidae
Description: non-protein coding lnc-SCAF8-1:8
Source: RNAcentral